Long non-coding RNA from Eurytemora carolleeae, 356 nucleotides. RefSeq lists it as uncharacterized. NCBI's taxonomy places the organism in Eukaryota, Metazoa, Arthropoda, Copepoda, Calanoida, Temoridae. The transcript has 3 exons. The record is from RefSeq and is a predicted model, not a curated record.
AUAAUCUACCUGCCUAGACUGGAUUGUAUAACUCAAUACUUUGAUAAAAAACGUCCCUUUGUGACAGUGGGGAUUGACAUUGGCUGGUUAGAAAAUAACAAAGGAACUAUUGACGAAUAUAUGUGGUCACAUCAUGGGAGUGUUGUAGAGGUUCAUGUUGGUGGUGCAGAUCAACAGUAACUUGAACAACAGGGCUCACUCCAAUCCAAAUCAGAACUGUAGGAGCUAAUUGAGGUCACAAAGUUGUACCAGGAAUGACGAACAAAUUUGACCUUCUCUUUUUGUACAGUUUUCAGUGUAACCAUCAUGCACAUUGAACAUGAGAAAAUUAAGUAUUUGAAACCAUUUAAAAAUAC